GACGAACGCUGGCGGCGUGCUUAACACAUGCAAGUCGAACGGAAAGGCCCUGCUUUUGUGGGGUGCUCGAGUGGCGAACGGGUGAGUAACACGUGAGUAACCUGCCCUUGACUUUGGGAUAACUUCAGGAAACUGGGGCUAAUACCGGAUAGGAGCUCCUGCUGCAUGGUGGGGGUUGGAAAGUUUCGGCGGUUGGGGAUGGACUCGCGGCUUAUCAGCUUGUUGGUGGGGUAGUGGCUUACCAAGGCUUUGACGGGUAGCCGGCCUGAGAGGGUGACCGGCCACAUUGGGACUGAGAUACGGCCCAGACUCCUACGGGAGGCAGCAGUGGGGAAUAUUGCACAAGGGGCGGAAGCCUGAUGCAGCAACGCCGCGUGCGGGAUGACGGCCUUCGGGUGGUAAACCGCUUUCGCUUGUGACGAGGCGUGAGUGACGGUAAUGGGUAAAGAAGCACCGGCUAACUACGU
Molecule: ribosomal RNA, 467 nt
Filed under: uncultured bacterium
Lineage: Bacteria
Description: partial 16S ribosomal RNA
Rfam family: Bacterial small subunit ribosomal RNA
Source: RNAcentral